AUUGAACGCUGGCGGCAGGCCUAACACAUGCAAGUCGAACGGUAACAGGAAGCAGCUUGCUGCUUUGCUGACGAGUGGCGGACGGGUGAGUAAUGUCUGGGAAACUGCCCGAUGGAGGGGGAUAACUACUGGAAACGGUAGCUAAUACCGCAUAACGUCGCAAGACCAAAGAGGGGGACCUUAUGGCCUCUUGCCAUCGGAUGUGCCCAGAUGGGAUUAGCUAGUAGGUGGGGUAACGGCUCACCUAGGCGACGAUCCCUAGCUGGUCUGAGAGGAUGAACAGCCACACUGGAACUGAGACACGGUCCAGACUCCUACGGGAGGCAGCAGUGGGGAAUAUUGCACAAUGGGCGCAAGCAUGAUGCAGCCAUGCCGCGUGUAUGAAGAAGGCCUUCGGGUUGUAAAGUACUUUCAGCGGGGAGGAAGGGAGUAAAGUUAAUACCUUUGCUCAUUGACGUUACCCGCAGAAGAAGCACCGGCUAACUACGUG
Molecule: ribosomal RNA, 490 nt
Filed under: uncultured bacterium
Lineage: Bacteria
Description: partial 16S ribosomal RNA
Rfam family: Bacterial small subunit ribosomal RNA
Source: RNAcentral